This is a long non-coding RNA of Camelus dromedarius (Arabian camel), 1241 nucleotides long. RefSeq lists it as uncharacterized. The record is from RefSeq and is a predicted model, not a curated record. NCBI's taxonomy places the organism in Eukaryota, Metazoa, Chordata, Mammalia, Artiodactyla, Camelidae. The transcript is spliced from 3 exons.
GGAGCAAACAGGAGGUUUCCACGUCACCUCAUGCCAUCCUCACCACAGCCCCGGGGGCGCUUCCCCGACAAGCAACCGGAGACCAAGAGGGCUGGAGCACUGGCCAAGAACUGGAGGACGUUCACUCGUGGAGCCGGUGGGGCCUCGCUUCCUGACGUAGGAGGGUCUCGGACAGCAGUGGGUCGAAAUGAGCGCCUGGAGCCUCAGAUCCAAGACAGACGCUUCCAUGAUCUGGCAACCAGAUGGUGCUGGGAGGUGACUGUGGGAGCCCUGGAGGAGGGGCCUUGUGAUGCAUAGCAACUGUGAGGUAGGGGCCGCUUGGCUGCUUGCAAGGCCCUGGGGAGCCAGAGCGCAGUGACUUCCGAGACGCUAGCAUCCCACGACAGGUACUGCGGCUUCCUGCCACCGUGCACCUUCUCCAAGCACCACAGGGACGCAAAACCUCCCGCCCUCGUCCGCUGAGGUUCAGAGCCGGGGAGGAGGCUGCUACAGUGCCAGGUUCUGCCUUUUUAUCUUUCGGAGCCCCGUUCCCCGGGCCACACGGAGACCGCGGACCCAACUCCGGGAAUUCAGGAAAAGCUGAAAACGAAGUCCCUCAGGGUCACUUCUGGCAUCAGCCUUCAGCUGCGAGCCUGAACAUCGCCUCCUUUUGCCUCGAGAAAGACAGUUCCCCGGAGAGCCGUGCUGCCAGCGAAGCGGAAAGGAGAGCAGAGGUGGGGCGCCCCGCGCGCCAGGCGGAGGGGCUGCGGGACCCCCGGGCCGCGCCGCAGGGCGCAGGUUGCGCGAGCGCAGCGGCAUCAGCACAGGACCCGCUUGCCGGCAUUGCUUCCGGACGGAUUCGGAAAAGUCAGGUGAAGCAAACUGAAAACUUCCAGAGGGCUGGAAGUGCCUUUCACUUGUUUUUUAAAGACAGGGUGUUUUAAAGAUUAUUUACCCAAGUUUCCAAGUUAGUAUUAGAAUUCAUUAUGAACCCGCGAAACUGGCACCUGAAGAGCCGCACCGGCGGUUCACGCCGGGCCUGCUCUGCACGGCGUCCUUGCUGACUCUCCGCUACGUCCUAGUCACGCGUCGUGUCGGGGGCUUUCUGGCUACUUACUGCAUCAUAGGCGCUUUCUGUCACAGUCUUCAUUCUAUACGAAUGAGUAAAGUAUUCGUUAUACGUUAAUAUUCCAACCACUGAAUGCAUCAUAAAAACAGUCAUUUUUCGUUUUUUGGUUACUUAGCUUGUUUCCAAUUUCUAU